GGCCAUCAACAGUACGACAUCGCCAUAAUUUAGAAAAUUAUUCAUCAACUUCCAUAAGGAGAGGUUAUAAAAUCCUCUCAACAUAAAUGUAAAAGUAACGUAAAAUAUCUACCCAGUGUUACAUUACAGAGCAAGACACUUAUUUUAUUAUUAUAAUAAUAAUAAUAAUAACAUAAACUAAGACUCUCCAAAGCUACUCCUCAUGAGCCACAUCUCUACCUCCAGUACCUGAGCGAUGUCGCAUAGAACAUCAUUCCAACAUAAGGGUAAGAACUUACAUUGUAUAAAAUAUAGCGUAACAAAGAGCAAGUAAACAAUUCAGAUCCAGCUUUAUAAACUCUUCACAUUGUCUUUAAAAUCUGAGUGAUUAUAAUAUUUGCUUUCAAGACAGUUUCAUAAUUCUUAUUGUUGUUUCAGAAAAUUAUAAGUUUUAAAAAGAAUAAUAAUUCGACUUUACCACAACAGCAAAAUAAUUCACCAACGAUUCACCAAACACAUAAAACCACUGAAAACGUGAAACUUAGUGUGUGAGACUCUAAUGUAUGCAUGUGGUACCAAUUGUUAACCUUAGCGGUAUCACCGCGUCCACUCCAGACAGUUAACCACCAAUGAAGUCCACUCCAGACUUCCAGAACCACGCCAGUUCUGGGACAAACCUCAGUUUUCCGAUGAAAACCGACACGUUGCCUCUUGACUAAAUGAAGUGUAUUUCGUGCAAAAACUCAUAAAUUAAAACAUGCAAUUUGAGACCACUCCAGCCCCAAAUAUAUAACAUAUUUCCUCACCAAAUUCCAUAACGGAAAUCACACCAAAAUUGCACAAAAUAACACUUCAAUACAAUUAUCAAAUCAUUCACUAUUCCACUGACAAAAUAGCAACACAAAAUCAUCAAAUGUCUCAUAUCAAUUACUAGAAUCAGUUUCAGAAUCAAUCCCAGAAAUAAGCAGAAACAUGGCAAACUUGCAUAUAAUCCUGGUACUAAAUGAGCAGUCCAAAAAUUAUGAAAAUUUUACCAAACAUAGCCUUAUACGUUAGCUUUCAUAUAAAAUUGGUUUCACCCAAUUUGGAAUUCUGUAGAGAGAGUUAUGGUCUCUACAGCACAGGCUGUUAGGGUUUCUGCGAGCAGAAACAGAGUGAACUUGCAGAUAAUUCUGGUAUUGAACCAGCAAUCUAAAAAUUAUGAUAAUAUUACCCAAUAUAGCCCUAUGAGUUAGCUUUCAUACAAAAUUGGUUUCACUCAAUUCGGAAUUCUGUAGAGAGAGUUAUGCUCUCUAUAACACAGGCUGCUAGGGUGUCUGCGGGCAGAAACAGAAUGAACUUGCAAAUGAUUCUGGUAUUGAACCAGCAAUCGAAAAAUUAUGAAAAUAUUACCCAACAUAGCCCUAUGAGUUAGCUUUCAUACAAAAUUGGUUUCACUCAAUUUGGAAUUCUGUAGAGAGAGUUAUGCUCUCUACAACGCAGACUGUUAGGGUAUUUGCGGGCAAAACAUAACAGAACCCAAUUUUCCCCGGAACCUCAAUUUCACUCAAAAUCAAUUUUGCUCAUCACAUGUUAACACUCAACACAGUCUCUCAGUUCUGAAUUUUCAAAGAAGAUGAGGGUUCCUUCAUGUUAAACUCAACCUGCUGUUAUUCUACAAUUAUACAAGAUAAAUUCAAACCCUUACCUCUUGAAGAUCAAAUUCUAGGUUUUUCUUCUCUUUUGUCCCCUUCUCUCUUUCACGCUUCUUUUCUUCUCCUCUGCUAACUUCUCC
This 1753-nucleotide long non-coding RNA is filed under the name Lotus japonicus. Its description in RNAcentral is "long non-coding RNA (LJAP_LNC000073)". Lineage: Eukaryota; Viridiplantae; Streptophyta; Magnoliopsida; Fabales; Fabaceae. The record is from RNAcentral.